Molecule: long non-coding RNA, 2478 nt
Organism: Brassica napus (rape)
Lineage: Eukaryota; Viridiplantae; Streptophyta; Magnoliopsida; Brassicales; Brassicaceae
Exons: 3
Source: RefSeq, a predicted model, not a curated record
AGCAAAUCAAACGUAAACCUUAAAUAAUGCACCCAAGUGUCAAGUUUUAGGAAGCUUGCUGAUCUUCUUCGUUUCAAAUCUUCUUCUCUACGUCCAAUCGAGAAGGUAUGGCACACCAAGGACAAUCAUCAAAUGGCAAAGAGGUAUUUAUUUACUAAAUAAAUUAUUUUAAUUAACUGAUUAUAUAGUUUAAUUGACUAACUUAUGUAUGAUAUUACAAUUAAAGGGAAAAAUACUAUGGAACGAUAGCAAGGUCCAUAUAUUUCUUGAAAUAUAUGAAAAUGAAAUGGAAAAAAUAAAUUGGCGUACCGGUCUUUUGAAAAAAAAGAGUAAAACGAGAAUUAGAAACGAAUUUCAAGAAGCAACAGGUCAAAAUCCAGAAUGGCUUCCAUUUAAAAAUAUAUUCUAUUCUAUAAAAAAUUGUAUGACAUUUAUCGCCGAUUGGGCCGUAUGACUGGGGUUUCAUUUCACGAGACCACAAAAUCUAUUCAAAUGGAUGAUGAAUGGUAGAAUGAUCGUAUUCAGGAAAUACCUGAUGCUGCAAAGCUCCGUGCACACCCCCUCACUGAUAUCGACAGAUUGGAUAGACUUUUUCGAGGCAAACACAUUUCAACCGAUGAUGGAUACUAUCCAGGUUCUGGAGUGGAUCAGAAUACCGAGUCUGAGACUGUUACCGAGAAUGAACACGACACUGUGAAUCUAGAAGAUGAUUCUGAUGCGCCUUCAAGAAACCAAAACGAAACACCGUCUUCCUACAACCAGAGUUCCAAACGGGUGUACGAAAACACUUCGCGUAGUUCAUCUUCAGCACGUAAACGAGGAACAUCAAAGGUUUCGUAUGACUUCGUGACAAAUGAAGCCUAUAUGAAACGAACAGAACUUUAUGAACGAGCCCAAGAUAGCAAGCUUGAACGUGCAAUUGCCUCAUUACAAACACUACCAGGUCUUCAGUAUGACUCUUCGUUAUAUUGGGGAGCAGUGAGAGUGCUUCAAAGUAAUGAGACACAUGCAUGUGUUUAUCUUACACUACCCGAUGAUGAUGCUAGAAUUAAAUAUCUCGAAAGAAUGACAGGAAUCGACCGAGAGGCUGAAUAAGAAAAUUAAAAAAAAUAAUGAAUAAUUUUUUUGUCGUAUUUUAUUUCAUGUUUAAUUUUGAAUAACAAUUUCUUGUUUUUUAUUUUUUUUAUUUAUCAAAUAAUAUUUAUUUAUUUUAAUAUAUUACUUUUUGUUUUUUUUGGUUAGAAAGAAGCAUUUUACCGAAUGCUUGAAGAUGAUGAAGCAGAAGAUGGAAGCAUUCAUUUUGGAGAAUCCUUCGUCGAUCCUUACUCUGUGAGUAUAGAAAGGCAACACAUGAACCUGGAUCCAGAACGCGGUCAAAGAUAUGUAAAUGAAUUACUUCACGGCCACGACGUACAAUGCUAUAACAUAAUUUGAAUGUAUCCGCCGGUAUACAUUCAGUUAUGUGAAAAGCUUAAGGAUGAUUAUCAGUUGAAGGAGACUGAUAAUGUAAGCAUCGAGGAAAGUGUUGCGAUAUUUCUUAACAUAUGUGCUCAAAAUGCAACUCAGAGGUAUCUUGGGAAGAUAUUUGGUCAUUCACAGGAAACUAUAAGUAGGAAAUUCCAUGAAGUGUUGAGUGCUCUCGAAAAAAUGGCGGUUGAUUUGCUUAAACCUGGUCCAAAUGAGCUCACACAACCUCAUCCUAAAUUACAAUCCAAUAGAAAUUAUUGGCCUUACUUUAAAGGAUUUAUUGGUGCAAUUGAUGGAACACAUGUUCCUGUCACUAUCGCGGGAAAAGAUUCAGAAAAAUAUUGGAACAGGAAAAGUGACACCAGUAUAAAUGUUUUAGCUAUAUGCAAUAUGGACAUGUUGUUUACAUAUGCAUAUAUAGGUAUUCCGGGAUCAGCUCAUGAUGCAAAAGUUUUAGCAGUAGCAAUGGAGGGGCCUCAUCAAUUUCCAACUGCACCUUUUGGAAAGUAUUAUUUAGGAGAUUCUGGUUAUCCUCUUCGACCUGGAUUUCUUACUCCGUAUAGAGGGGAAAGAUAUCAUCCUAGCCAAUACGAUGGAGCUAGUCCGCCCAGUAGUUAUAAAGAAAUGUUUAACAAACAACAUUCUUCGCUGCGAUCUGUUAUUGAAAGGACUUUUGGUGUGUUGAAAGGAAAAUGACGGGUUUUAAGAGAGAAGCCAAGAUACAACAUACAUGUUCAAAGAAGAGUUGUUGCAGCUACAAUGGCUCUACAUAAUUUUACCAGGCUAUCAAAUUUAGGAGAUGUUGAUUUUGAUUCGGACUAUCCAACUGGUAAUGUACCAACUGAAAACUCUGAUUCAGAUGAAGACGAAGAACAUAAUAAUACUCAUGUGCACUAUAUGGAAGGCAUUCGAGAUCAAAUUUCUGCAUCUUUAUGGGAUUCAAGAUAAUUUUUAUUUUAUAUUUAAAUUUUUUUGUUUUAAAAUAUUUUAAAACAAAAUUAUGUAUGCUUU